AACGAACGCUGGCGGCAGGCCUAACACAUGCAAGUCGAGCGCGCCCUUCGGGGUGAGCGGCGGACGGGUGAGUAACGCGUGGGAACGUGCCCUUUUCUACGGAAUAGCCUCGGGAAACUGAGAGUAAUACCGUAUACGCCCUUUGGGGGAAAGAUUUAUCGGAAAAGGAUCGGCCCGCGUUGGAUUAGGUAGUUGGUGGGGUAAUGGCCUACCAAGCCGACGAUCCAUAGCUGGUUUGAGAGGAUGAUCAGCCACACUGGGACUGAGACACGGCCCAGACUCCUACGGGAGGCAGCAGUGGGGAAUCUUAGACAAUGGGGGCAACCCUGAUCUAGCCACGCCGCGUGAGUGAUGAAGGCCUUAGGGUUGUAAAGCUCUUUCAGCUGGGAAGAUAAUGACGGUACCAGCAGAAGAAGCCCCGGCUAACUCCGUG
Molecule: ribosomal RNA, 433 nt
Filed under: uncultured bacterium
Lineage: Bacteria
Description: partial 16S ribosomal RNA
Rfam family: Bacterial small subunit ribosomal RNA
Source: RNAcentral